UUACGGACAGUGCCUGGUGGGUAGUUUGACUGGGGCGGUCUCCUCCCAAAGAGUAACGGAGGAGCACGAAGGUGGGCUAAACACGGUUGGACAUCGUGUGGUUAGUGCAAUGGCAUAAGCCCGCUUGACUGCGAGAAUGACAAUUCGAGCAGGUGCGAAAGCAGGUCAUAGUGAUCCGGUGGUUCUGAAUGGAAGGGCCAUCGCUCAACGGAUAAAAGGUACUCCGGGGAUAACAGGCUGAUACCGCCCAAGAGUUCAUAUCGACGGCGGUGUUUGGCACCUCGAUGUCGGCUCAUCACAUCCUGGGGCUGAAGUCGGUCCCAAGGGUAUGGCUGUUCGCCAUUUAAAGUGGUACGCGAGCUGGGUUUAGAACGUCGUGAGACAGUUCGGUCCCUAUCUGCCGUGGGCGUUGGAAAAUUGAAAGGGGCUGCUCCUAGUACGAGAGGACCGGAGUGGACGAACCUCUGGUGUUCGGGUUGUCAUGCCAAUGGCAUUGCCCGGUAGCUACGUUCGGAAUCGAUAAGCGCUGAAAGCAUCUAAGCGCGAAGCGAGCCUUGAGAUGAGUUUUCCCUGGCACUAUAAGUGUCCUAAAGGGUUGUCGUAGACUACGACGUUGAUAGGCAGG
Molecule: ribosomal RNA, 625 nt
Filed under: Vibrio sp. RW
Lineage: Bacteria; Pseudomonadati; Pseudomonadota; Gammaproteobacteria; Vibrionales; Vibrionaceae
Description: partial 23S ribosomal RNA
Rfam family: Bacterial large subunit ribosomal RNA
Source: RNAcentral